CGCGACCCCAGGUCAGGCAGGACCACCCGCUGAGUUUAAGCAUAUCAAAA
Molecule: ribosomal RNA, 50 nt
Filed under: Ageratum conyzoides
Lineage: Eukaryota; Viridiplantae; Streptophyta; Magnoliopsida; Asterales; Asteraceae
Description: partial 28S ribosomal RNA
Source: RNAcentral